MicroRNA precursor from Microcebus murinus (gray mouse lemur), 83 nucleotides. Ensembl annotates it as microRNA 488. Its record names the gene MIR488. The record is from Ensembl. NCBI's taxonomy places the organism in Eukaryota, Metazoa, Chordata, Mammalia, Primates, Cheirogaleidae.
GAGAAUCAUCUCUCCCAGAUAAUGGCACUCUCAAACAAGGUUCCGAGUUGUUUGAAAGGCUAUUUCUUGGUCAGAAGAUUCUC